RNAcentral lists this ribosomal RNA (362 nucleotides) under Aculus sp. AH14. RNAcentral's name for it is "partial small subunit ribosomal RNA". The record is from RNAcentral. Lineage: Eukaryota; Metazoa; Arthropoda; Arachnida; Trombidiformes; Eriophyidae.
CUUGAUCUCAAGAGUGACGGGCGAUUUGUGCAUGUUUUUUUACUAAUUCAAAUCAAAUAAAUUUCUUUUGAUUUUAAUUUUAAGUCCUUUUUCCUUUUUGUUUCAAUUUUAUUCCUGUUAUUUUUGUAUUUGUAUCCCGCACAAUCUUUAAAUAUAUCCUCUGUACUGAUUUGUUUUACUUUUAAGUAAGAUUUCAAUUAUAUUUUUAUUUUUAAUUUUUAAACAAUGAUAUAGAGGGUUAUUAUCAAAGUUUAUUCAAUCGUGGGUUAUCUAUUAAUUUGUAGGAUCCCCUAGUUAGGAUAAACACCGCCAUAUUUCUUAGAUUUUUUUUUAUUUAAAUACUAUCUUCUCUUUUCUUAGAA